Cyprinus carpio (common carp) is the source of this 718-nucleotide long non-coding RNA. RefSeq lists it as uncharacterized. The transcript has 4 exons. Lineage: Eukaryota; Metazoa; Chordata; Actinopteri; Cypriniformes; Cyprinidae. The record is from RefSeq and is a predicted model, not a curated record.
CUACUUCGACUACUGGGGAAAAGAACCAAAGUCACCGUUUCCUCAGCUGAAUCAUCUCCACCAACGUCAAUCUUCGCCAUGUCCCAGUGUACUCCUGAUUCUACUGGGUACGUCACCAUCGGCUGCAUGGCAAGAGGUUUCUCACCUGCGGACUCCGCUGACUUUUUAAAUGGACGGAUUAUAAUGCGAAGGAGUUGAGUGAUUUCGUGCAGUAUCCAGCAUUCGGCAGUGGUGGAGAAUAUACCAAAGUCAGCCAUAUGCGCGUGAGAAAAAAGCGAGUUGGAUCCUCAAAAAACCAUACAACUGCGAAGCUUCAAAUUCUAAAGGCAAAAAAGAAUAGUAAAGUUCCUCUUCUUCCACCACCAAUACGUGUCUAUAAGCCUAAUAUUACUCUGCUGAGUAGAGAGGACGGUGACAGGAUUGUGUUGGAGUGCCAGUUGAAUGAUUAUUUCCCAGACAAACUUUCUGUACAAUGGCUUGAUGGUGAAAAGUCUGUCAGAGGUCAAAUUGCUAAAAAGUUUCAGAACGCUGAUAAAGGCGAGACAAAGUACACUUACAUAAGUCAGCUAUCUAUCAGGGCCACAUAUGAAUACAAAAAAGUACACCUGUAAAGCCACCCACAACUCUGAAGUGUUCAUGACAGAAUAUGACAUGUGCACGGCCAAGCCUUUGUUCAAACCUUCAGUCCAAAUAAAGAAAUUUCAUCUCAGAGACAUUA